UGGGGAAUAUUGGACAAUGGGCGCAAGCCUGAUCCAGCCAUGCCGCGUGAGUGAUGAAGGCCUUAGGGUUGUAAAGCUCUUUCGCCGACGAAGAUAAUGACGGUAGUCGGAGAAGAAGCCCCGGCUAACUUCGUGCCAGUAGCCGCGGUAAUACGAAGGGGGCUAGCGUUGUUCGGAAUCACUGGGCGUAAAGCGCACGUAGGCGGAUUGUUAAGUCAGGGGUGAAAGCCUGGAGCUCAACUCCAGAACUGCCCUUGAUACUGGCAAUCUCGAGUCCGGAAGAGGUAAGUGGAACUGCGAGUGUAGAGGUGAAAUUCGUAGAUAUUCGCAAGAACACCAGUGGCGAAGGCGGCUUACUGGUCCGGUACUGACGCUGAGGUGCGAAAAGCGUGGGGAGCAAAACAGGAUUAGAUACCCUGGUAGUCCACGCCGUAAACGAUGGAGGCUAGCCGUUGGCGAGCAUGCUCGUCAGUGGCGCAGCUAACGCAUUAAGCCUCCCGCCUGGGGAGUACGGUCGCAAGAUUAAAAACUCAAAAGGAAUUGACGGGGGUCAUAGCGUUCGUUU
Molecule: ribosomal RNA, 565 nt
Filed under: uncultured bacterium
Lineage: Bacteria
Description: partial 16S ribosomal RNA
Rfam family: Bacterial small subunit ribosomal RNA
Source: RNAcentral